ACUCCUACGGGAGGCAGCAGUAGGGAAUCUUCCACAAUGGGUGCAAACCUGAUGGAGCAAUGCCGCGUGAGUGAAGAAGGUCUUCGGAUCGUAAAGCUCUGUUGUUAGAGAAGAACACGUGCUAGGUAACUACUAGCGCCUUGACGGUAUCUAACCAGAAAGUCACGGCUAACUACGUGCCAGCAGCCGCGGUAAUACGUAGGUGACAAGCGUUGUCCGGAUUUAUUGGGCGUAAAGGGAGCGCAGGCGGUCUGUUUAGUCUAAUGUGAAAGCCCACGGCUUAACCGUGGAACGGCAUUGGAAACUGACAGACUUGAAUGUAGAAGAGGAAAAUGGAAUUCCAAGUGUAGCGGUGGAAUGCGUAGAUAUUUGGAGGAACACCAGUGGCGAAGGCGAUUUUCUGGUCUAACAUUGACGCUGAGGCUCGAAAGCGUGGGGAGCGAACAGGAUUAGAAACCCUGGUAGUCCC
This 469-nucleotide ribosomal RNA is filed under the name uncultured organism. RNAcentral's name for it is "partial 16S ribosomal RNA". It matches the Rfam family "Bacterial small subunit ribosomal RNA", at positions 335 to 797 of the family's 1533-position model. The record is from RNAcentral.